GAAAUGGUGUCUUUAGACACCACUAAUGUUUUUUGAAGUUUAUUU
This is a non-coding RNA of Picea glauca (white spruce), 45 nucleotides long. The record is from Rfam. NCBI's taxonomy places the organism in Eukaryota, Viridiplantae, Streptophyta, Pinopsida, Pinales, Pinaceae.